GAUGAACGCUGGCGGCGUGCCUAAUACAUGCAAGUCGAGCGAACAGACGAGGAGCUUGCUCCUCUAACGUUAGCGGCGGACGGGUGAGUAACACGUGGAUAACCUACCUAUAAGACUGGGAUAACUUCGGGAAACCGGAGCUAAUACCGGAUAAUAUAUUGAACCGCAUGGUUCAAUAGUGAAAGACGGUUUUGCUGUCACUUAUAGAUGGAUCCGCGCCGCAUUAGCUAGUUGGUAAGGUAACGGCUUACCAAGGCGACGAUGCGUAGCCGACCUGAGAGGGUGAUCGGCCACACUGGAACUGAGACACGGUCCAGACUCCUACGGGAGGCAGCAGUAGGGAAUCUUCCGCAAUGGGCGAAAGCCUGACGGAGCAACGCCGCGUGAGUGAUGAAGGUCUUCGGAUCGUAAAACUCUGUUAUUAGGGAAGAACAAAUGUGUAAGUAACGAUGCACGUCUUGACGGUACCUAAUCAGAAAGCCACGGCUAACUACGU
Molecule: ribosomal RNA, 496 nt
Filed under: uncultured bacterium
Lineage: Bacteria
Description: partial 16S ribosomal RNA
Rfam family: Bacterial small subunit ribosomal RNA
Source: RNAcentral